GUCAGCAGGCCGCACACGCGCCGGACCGGGUACCGCUGUGCCCGGCCUGGCCGCGGCCUAGUCCCGGCAGACGGGACUGACGAGGUCACCAAGCCCAGGCCGAGACGGCGCGGGUGUCAGGGACUUGGGAAUCCCCCUCCCCCAGUCCCGAUCCCGCUUUCCUUUGGGGUUUCACCUCAGAGGACCCGACAGCACUCUUGCAGUUUCCUCAUCCUCAAGAUGGACUGCACCUUCUGGCAUCUCAAGUGGUUCUUGUGAAGAUUAAAUGAAUCCAUCAGGCCGGGUGCGGUGGCUCACGCCUGUAAUCCCAGCACUUUGGGAGGCCGAGACGAGCGCAUCACCUGAGGUCAGGAGUUCCAGACCAGCCUGGCCAACAAGACCUCCCCACAGAGUUGACGCUCUGGAAAGAAAAGCCAGGCUUUUCUCUGAGGUUUUGCAUCUCCUUGGCCAAUGUGCUCAUGCCAGAGAAGAGCAGUGCAUGGCCAGUUUGAGGAGCACGGCCAUGUGACCUUGGACAGCCCCUGCCUCUCUCUAGGACUCACUCCCGGUCCCUAACCUCAGCUCUCUGAUCUGUACCACAAGGAGCUGCCACUAACACCUGUGUCAGAACUACUGUAAGGACCCUUUCCU
This 630-nucleotide long non-coding RNA is filed under the name Homo sapiens (human). RNAcentral's name for it is "non-protein coding lnc-MRPL11-1:18". Lineage: Eukaryota; Metazoa; Chordata; Mammalia; Primates; Hominidae. The record is from RNAcentral.